Molecule: long non-coding RNA, 1711 nt
Filed under: Linum usitatissimum (flax)
Lineage: Eukaryota; Viridiplantae; Streptophyta; Magnoliopsida; Malpighiales; Linaceae
Description: long non-coding RNA (LUSI_LNC003409)
Source: RNAcentral
CGCAUCACCAAGGUAAAUGACACUAUCCUUGUCUUGCUCCCUGAAAUUUCUAAUCAUGUUGCCAUGUCGUAGUUCCGACCUAUCAGUCUAUGUUUGGUGCUCUACAAAGCUGUCACCAAAUGUUUGACUCCUCGUGUCCGGCCCUACACGCCUCGGCUGGUGUACCCUACUCGAGCAAGCUUUGGAAGGCGACACAUCACAAACAACAUCAUCAUUCUUUAGGAGGUUGUCCACUUUAUGACAUACGACAAGAAUCGGCGGCAUCAAAGGAUGGUGGUGAAGGUAUACCUAGCUAAAGCUUAUGAUAAGGUAUGAUUGAUGGUCUUUCCUCCAGGAUAUGGUCAUAGCUGUACGAUUCUCGGAGUCGAUGGUUCAGCUGGUCAUGGCUUGUGUCUCUUCUGCUCAGUUUCAAAUCUUGUGGAUGGUGGCCUCACUGAUUCUUUUACCCCUUCUUAGGGUAUUCGCUAGGGAUUUCCUCUAUCUCCCUUCUUGUUUACUUUCUAUUUGAGCGGCUCAGCCAUAUUAUUAAUGUUACGGUUUGAACUAGUGAUUGGAAACCUAUCCGGCUCACCCCAGAUAGCCCUGCUCUCUCACACCUUUUCUUUCAAGAUGACUUAAUUUUGUUUGGCGAGGCAACCCUAGCUCAGGCACUGGGCAUGACCCACUUCCUUGAUCAAUUUUGUGCGGCCUCUGGACAGGAAUGAGCAAGGAUAAGUUUGUCCUCUACUUCUCCACGACGACUACGCGUGCUCUUUCGUCCGCGAUUUCAGCUAGCAUGAGUAUUCGAAUGAGUCAAAAUUUGGGCCGCUAUCUGGGUGUUCCUUUCCUACAUGAACAAGUGACAAAUGACACCUACCAGUUCAUCCUUGAUAGGAUGGACCAAAAGAUUUCUGGAUGGAAAACCUCGACUCUUACUUUGGCUGAUAGAGUCACUCUUGCUCAGUUAGUUCUCUCUGCUAUUCCAUCGUAAAUUGUGCAAACCUCUGUACUUUCUAGUCAUAUUUGUAGUGAGAUCGAUCGUAAGAUUUGAAAUUUUUUGUGGGGUACCACGACUGAGAGCCACAAGAUUCACCUUAUCUCGUGAGAGACGAUUUAUCGUCCAAAAGCAGAGGUAGGUCUCAGGCUACGGCUGGCAAGACAGUUGAAUCAAGCCUACAUGCUAAAACUUGGGUUUCAUUUUAUUACCAAACUUUAUGACUUGUUGGUGCAGGUCCUUCGCACCAAGUAUACCAGAGAGGAUGAUGCGGGUUUUCAUCACUGACAUACCAACUAUAAAUCAUCAAUUUGGCGUGGUAUUUUGGCUAGUCUUCUUGCAAUCCAGCAAGGGCUUCGAGAUGGAAUUCACGAUGGAUGUGGCAGUGCAUUGUGGACAGGGAGGUGGCUCAACUCGGGGACAACUCUUAUCGACCAUAUCGUACCUACGGCGGCCAAGCCUAAGCUUCAUGCGACAAUCAUCUCCUUCAGCACUACUUCAGGUUAGGGUUGAGAUCCAGCCUGGAUCAGGCUAAACCCAGCCCGGUUUGACCGGGUUCCAGGUUUGAAAAUAGGAAUGUUAAGUAUCCAAACCCGGCCCAGAAUAAUAAUCGGGUUAUCCGAACCCGGUUUGACCGGGUCUAGGCUGGGGCUGGGUUACCCGGACUUUACCCAGUCAUUGUGAAAGACGAAAUCUAAAGGAUAAUUUUCUAUUAUUUUUUUCUCUCAUAUCUGUUCG